AACCAAUAUUACCAAUUAUUUUAUUUAAAAUUUUAUGCUAUUUUUAUCUUAAUUAAUCUCUAUGCAAAUUUGUGUAAUUUGGUAUGUACUUAAAUUUGUGACUGACAUUAAUAUUUUCAUGUCUUCCUCCCAAACGAAAUAAAAAACAUUUAUUUCAAAUUUUAUGGGGUUUAAAUUUUGUAGGUAGGUAAUACAGAGUGCUCAAAAACUGGCGCACUAACUCAGUGGUACGUUAUUGAGAAGCAAGUGCAGAUUACGGGAAAAAUGUUAGAAAAAUUCCUAAAGUUAUAUUUUAAAAAAUCUGGAGCUACAAACUUACUGUGUUAAUUUCUUUAGUUUUCAUUAUUUUUUUAUAUUUCUAUGUUUCAUACCAGGUAAUCGUUCCGUAACAAAACGAUGAAUAAUUAUUUUAAAAUUUACUAUCAGAUUUUAGUAGUUUUUUUAAUUUAAAAAAAUUAAAAUUCAUCCAAAAAAUCACAAUGUGUAGAUGUGCCAACACUGGGAAUUAUUUCCUAGGAAACUGUUUCAAAAAUAAUUUAUUUUUAUUGUUGCCCAAAUUCUAUUGCGAUUAUGACUGUUAGACAACGUUGCCACAUAUCAUUUAUCUAAAAUCCGUUAUUUAUCAAUAACUUUAAUACAAAGAAUUUUUUACUAUUUCUACCUUUAUAUGUAACCACUUCUCUACCACACACCAUUGAGUUGGUGCGCCAGUUUUUGAGCACGCUGUAUGCUUUUUAAAAAUCGAUUGUACUAUUAUUAGCUAUUUGAUUACUGAUUUUUUAAUAUAAAUUGCAGUCCACACUACAUACGUAGAUUUAGAAACAACAACGUGAAAUAAUAAAAAAAAUCAGGAAAAUGAACCGCAAAAGAAUUGUUACCAAAACGGAAUGCUGCAGAUAAAUCUUCUUCGACAAGUUUUCGGAAAGUAGUCGAAGAUUUUUUGACCAACAAAUACUACCAAAAACUUAUAAACAAUUUGAUGAAAAAUUUCAAAAAUUUAGGAUGCAGAAUGUCCAAUAAAAUGUUUUUUUACAUUCACAUUGGGACUUUUUUGAAAAAUUUGGGUGCUAUAAGCGGAAAACAUGAGGAAAGGUUCUAUCAAAAUAUAAAAGCGUUAUCAAGGAAAAGUAACGCGGCAAUGAUGGUAGGUUACGUAUGAACCUUGCAACCAAAAAGUAAAUUCACUUUGAAAGGAAAAAAGAUUAAAUGUUUAUGUUUAGUCGACAUAAUUUUAACAGAAGGUGUUUUUCAUAUUUCUUCAUUUGUUAAAUAAAAAUGUUUUCUUUGGCUUUAUUUGCUUUAUUUUUUGGUAUUUGAUUUAAUGUUAUAGUCUAAUUUAAUGAAAAGUAAAAUAUAACGUAAGUUCCAAAAACGUAAAGACAGUAGCAUGAAAUUUGUUGAAAAUUGAAAAUUGUAAACAAUCCUAUAUACAAACAAAAAGUUAUAAUUUGUUUCAUAGUGUUAUUUGUAGCAAGAACCGUCUUUAUGUAAUUUAGUUUAAUUUAGAAACAACUCUCCAACUACUUAAAGUUUUGACUGAUAUUAAUAUUAUCUUAUCUUCCGCCCAAACGAAAUAAAAAAAAAUUAUUUCAGAUUUUGUGCGGUUUAAAUUUUCUAUUAUAAUUUUUUAUACGGUUUUUAAGAUCUUAUUGUACUUAUUAUUAUUUGAUCGAUUAUUUUUAUAUAAAUUGCAAUUCACACUUAUCUUGCGACGAUUUCGAAAGUAAUCACAGCAACAUGAAGUUCUUUGGAGUAGUACUAUUUGUGUUCUUACUUGUGGCGGAAAGCUUUCAGCAAGGGUUUUGGUCACCCAGAACUUUUAUCGGUCGACGAAAGGCUGACUAUUGUGACGAAGUCUGUGGAAAAUGUUCUUAAACUUUUUGGUCAAAAUGAAAUUAUUUGGCCUUUUUAAAAAAUAAAACACUAAAGCACGUAUAAAA
Molecule: long non-coding RNA, 1940 nt
Organism: Tribolium castaneum (red flour beetle)
Lineage: Eukaryota; Metazoa; Arthropoda; Insecta; Coleoptera; Tenebrionidae
Exons: 2
Source: RefSeq, a predicted model, not a curated record